AAUUUUAAGAUUUGGGUUGCACUGUGUUCAGAACUUCAGAUUAUUUUGGCAUGACUGUCCAACUACAAGUGUUAGUAAUUUUGUUCGUAAGGUUUUUACCCCUUGAUCAACACCAUAUUCAUGAAAGUUCUUGUGAUAUAUGUUUGUUAUAUUUACUCAUUUUUUUAUUCUGAUGGUGUAGAAUCAGAAACAGAAAUUCAGCGUCAGUUAGCACAGAGGGAAAAACUUCGAAAUGCCUCUUAUGGACUAUGUUCACUGUUUUUGGCGUGAUUGUCCUAUAAUCAUGCAGGAAAAGUUCCAUACCAAAAUGCAUCACAAUAUGUUUAGUCUCAUUUCGCCAUUGAAGAUC
RNAcentral lists this long non-coding RNA (349 nucleotides) under Aquilegia coerulea. RNAcentral's name for it is "long non-coding RNA (ACOE_LNC000515)". Lineage: Eukaryota; Viridiplantae; Streptophyta; Magnoliopsida; Ranunculales; Ranunculaceae. The record is from RNAcentral.